Molecule: ribosomal RNA, 383 nt
Filed under: uncultured eukaryote
Lineage: Eukaryota
Description: partial 18S ribosomal RNA
Rfam family: Eukaryotic small subunit ribosomal RNA
Source: RNAcentral
CAAUAGCGUAUAUUUAAGUUGUUGCAGUUAAAAAGCUCGUAGUUGGAUUUCUGACAGGAGCGACCGGUCCGAUCAUUUGGUCGUGUACUUUGUGUUGUCUCUAGUCAUCCUUAUGGAGAACGCUUGUGGCAUUAAGUUGUCGCGAGUGGGAACCAUAUCGUUUACUGUGAAAAAAUUAGAGUGUUUAAAGCAGGCAAUUGCUGUGAAUACGUUAGCAUGGAAUAAUAAGAUAGGACUUUGGUACUAUUUUGUUGGUUUACAUACCAAGGUAAUGAUUAAGAGGGACAGUUGGGGGUAUUCGUAUUUAAUUGUCAGAGGUGAAAUUCUUGGAUUUAUGAAAGACGAACUACUGCGAAAGCAUUUACCAAGGAUGUUUUCAUUAA